UCUUUUCCUUAGAGAGGCUGACGGUGACA
Molecule: non-coding RNA, 29 nt
Filed under: Homo sapiens (human)
Lineage: Eukaryota; Metazoa; Chordata; Mammalia; Primates; Hominidae
Source: RNAcentral